RNAcentral lists this ribosomal RNA (403 nucleotides) under uncultured bacterium. RNAcentral describes it as "partial 16S ribosomal RNA". It matches the Rfam family "Bacterial small subunit ribosomal RNA", at positions 29 to 526 of the family's 1533-position model. The record is from RNAcentral.
AUUGAACGCUGGCGGCAGGCCUAACACAUGCAAGUCGAGCGAGUGGCGGACGGGUGAGUAAUGUAUGGGGACUGCCCGAUAGAGGGGGAUAACUACUGGAAACGGUGGCUAAUAACGCAUACUAUCGGAUAACCCAUAUGGGAUUAGCUAGUAGGUGGGGUAAAGGCUCACCUAGGCGACGAUCGCUAGCUGGUCUGAGAGGAUGAUCAGCCACACUGGGACGGAACCACGGCCCAGAUCCCACCGGAGGCAGCAGUGGGAAAUAUUGGACAAUGGGCGAAAGCCGGAUGCAGCCAUGCCGCGGGUAUGAAGAAGGCCUUAGGGUUGUAAAGUACUUUCAGCGGGGAGGCGGUACCCGCAGAGGAAGCACCGGCUAACUCCGUGCCAGCAGCCGCGGUAAUAC